GAACUUUGCCACGUCCACUUACGGUUAGCCCAUUUUCUGAAGAAGGUAUUAAAUAUCUGUGAAUUAGUACGUUUUGCGAACUCUACUUACGACUUUCCUCUGGCAUUUCUAGAACCAAUGCCAUAUUCUACCACUGCAUGGUCUGUUUCUUGCCUACUUUGGCAUCAAAGUUUCCCAUCAGAAAAGUAUACUGUGACAUUACUUUAUCAAUGGCUGACUAUACGUCUUCUUAGAAGUGUUCAACCGAAUGAUCAUCACGGCUCGAUGUAGGUCUGACUGCCCCCUUGGACAGUUGCUUCACAGCCACUGGGGACCAAGGGCGAAGAGUUAAUUGGUACUUUCAUAAGCUGGUCGAUAUGUCCAUUCUGUCUGCCAUCUAGUGCUCGUUACGAUGUCAAGCUGUCAUUGUUAUGUCUUCGACUCCAGGCCACGUCAAACAUGUGUGACAUGAUAGAACGGAUAGUAAUUAUAAUCUCAGGCUUGACCUGUUACUGGCAUACACGAAAGGGUAGUGCAGAUGGGAGUGUCGUGUGAGCCGCUGUCCUGUGCAGGUUGUUCGGGAAAUUAGUCACCAUUGCUGCACUCAAGAAAGCCUGGAAGGAUUUUUCGGAAAGCUUCAUUUUAAUAAAGCCUGCACCCGCUUUGCAUGUUGUUCGUAGCUGCAACUGCGGAGCCUCAA
Rhipicephalus microplus (southern cattle tick) is the source of this 679-nucleotide long non-coding RNA. RefSeq lists it as uncharacterized. NCBI's taxonomy places the organism in Eukaryota, Metazoa, Arthropoda, Arachnida, Ixodida, Ixodidae. The record is from RefSeq and is a predicted model, not a curated record.